This 366-nucleotide long non-coding RNA is filed under the name Brassica napus (rape). Its description in RNAcentral is "long non-coding RNA (BNAP_LNC012237)". Lineage: Eukaryota; Viridiplantae; Streptophyta; Magnoliopsida; Brassicales; Brassicaceae. The record is from RNAcentral.
UAAAAAUAUAUAUAAAUGAUAAGAUACUAAAAUACUAUAUAUGGUUAUAUGGUUAAUUGGUUAUAUUUUAUUAAAAUUUCCUAUGAAUAUUUGGACUGCGUCUCUAACUUUUUUAUUUUUCUAUUCUACUUCCAUAAAAAAUAUUUUAUUAAAUAGGAUGAGUUCGGAUAGUACCAUCCGUUGUUGGUAUAGAAUAAUAUAUACUGAUUAAUUUUAAGUUGGAAAUUUAUGAUAAGCCCGAAUCUAAUAUGGUAUCAGAGUCCAUUUCUCACCUAUUAAUAUAACCAUUUCAACCGGUAAUAAAUAUCCUACUAAACCCUCGCGACCAUAUAUAAAUGUCCUAAAAUUUCAAGAUUUUUGGCCGAU